CUCUUGGCUGGUUCUCACUUCUUUCUCAGUAAGUAAACUAACCAAAAGAAAUAUGGCUUCAAUUGCCCUGAACCUGAAGACCUUCGUUGGACUCCGGCAAGCGUCGCCGGAGAACAACCCCAUAACCGCCCUCGCAAAACCCAGCUCCACCACCACUGCCGCCCGCAAACAGCUCCGCAUAAAUGCCGCCAAAACCAGCCCAAAAGUCACUGGCCGCAACCUCAGGGUCGCAGUGGUAGGUGGAGGCCCUGCUGGUGGCUCCGCCGCUGAGACUCUCGCAAAAGGUGGCAUCGAAACCUUCCUCAUCGAGCGCAAGCUCGACAACUGCAAGCCCUGCGGCGGCGCCAUCCCGCUGUGCAUGGUGGGCGAAUUCGACCUCCCGCUAGACAUCAUAGACCGCCGGGUCACCAAGAUGAAGAUGAUUUCCCCCUCCAACGUCGCCG
Molecule: long non-coding RNA, 443 nt
Filed under: Coffea arabica (coffee)
Lineage: Eukaryota; Viridiplantae; Streptophyta; Magnoliopsida; Gentianales; Rubiaceae
Description: long non-coding RNA (CARA_LNC003329)
Source: RNAcentral